CAGCAGCGGAGGCUGUAUCUUCCACUCUAACCCGAUCCGUUGCGAUGCGAUCCAUAAAAAUAGCUCACUAAUUAUCUGUAUGCUAGGGUUACAAUCCACACAAAAAGCAAACAAACUGUCGAGCAUUUUUAUGGAUCUUCUGCUGUGUCGGCUCCCCCCGCUUGUCUCCCUCACGCUUUGCUGUGUCUUUGUGCCCCCGCAAAGAUUUCAUUCGAUGUUGUUGAAUUUGUAUUUUCAAUAACAGUUCAAUUUGCAGUCGAGUUGGUGGGCUGGCUGCCUAAAUUGCGGCAUCUGGAUCGCCGUAGCCGCCAUGCCAGCGUGCCGCAUUCGACUCAUCCAGAUCCUCAAUGGACUGCAUGAACUGCCGCAGCUGGGCAAGAACGCGGUCUGUGCGCUCCUCCAGAUGGUCCAGCGCUCUGUUCAGUGCAUCCAGAUUCAGUAUGACACUGUCCAUGAUGAGCUCCGUGCUCCGUCUGAGGUGCACCAAGGUGUCCACGCUUGCUCUUAUUUCCCGGUUUCUGCUCCGCCGAGACUCAUCCAACUGCUGGUUCUCCUCCAUGCUGUCCAUUGGGGCUCUCGAAUGUGCAAUUUUAAACUGUUAUUGCUUUAAUACACACAAUUUUUGUAUGCUUAGUGCACAGGUGCUGAACUGAAGUGUAAAGCAAAUUCCAAAAAUAUUCACAAAUAUUUGGUGCAAAAAUAAUCAUCUGCGCCACUGGAGUGCUCUGUGGUUGAUGGGUAUGCAGACUCUGACAUUAGUUAUUUGUAGUUGAAUAAUGGGAUACAAAUCACUCUCUGUCCCAAGGCUUAGCGGCUCUUUAAUCGUUACACAAUUAUCCAACUAACUAACAAUUAUCCUCUCAUUAAAAGCAAUGCCAUAACUUGGGUCACACAAUGAAGAACUCUUCCGAGAGGGCAUCUUGGGCAUCUUGUUAUCACACCUUAUUAUUGAAAUAUUAUGAAAUGAGAGCAAAUGAGCAACCAUUACGAAAGUGCUUAAUCGUUGUUUUCAUUAAAUGCAUUUACAAAAUGGCAGUGGCCAUUAUUUAAGCACAACAAUUACAAAUCGUGCGCUGUGCCUGCAAUAUUCAUAUUCACUUGUCAAAAUGUCAACUCAAAAUAGAAUAUUUAUGCGUUUUUAUGUACUGUACGCCACAUAGAAAUGAAGCAUCCAUCGCGGAUCGUGGAUGGGGUAAAAAGGCAGUCCAAAACUAUAAAUAAAUGCACGGCGUGCAACCGAAC
RNAcentral lists this long non-coding RNA (1242 nucleotides) under Drosophila guanche. The record is from RNAcentral. Lineage: Eukaryota; Metazoa; Arthropoda; Insecta; Diptera; Drosophilidae.